UACGUAGGGUGCGAGCGUUAAUCGGAAUUACUGGGCGUAAAGCGUGCGCAGGCUGUCUUGUAAGUCAGAUGUGAAAUCCCUGAGCUCAACUUAGGAACUGCGUUUGAAACUACAAGACUAGAAUAUGUCAGAGGGGGGUAGAAUUCCACGUGUAGCAGUGAAAUGCGUAGAGAUGUGGAGGAAUACCAAUGGCGAAGGCAGCCCCCUGGGAUAAUAUUGACGCUCAUGCACGAAAGCGUGGGGAGCAAACAGG
This 253-nucleotide ribosomal RNA is filed under the name uncultured bacterium. RNAcentral describes it as "partial 16S ribosomal RNA". It matches the Rfam family "Bacterial small subunit ribosomal RNA", at positions 524 to 776 of the family's 1533-position model. The record is from RNAcentral.